UACGUAGGGGGCAAGCGUUGUCCGGAAUCAUUGGGCGUAAAGAGCGUGUAGGCGGCCCGGUAAGUCCGCUGUGAAAGUCCAGGGCUCAACCCUGGGAUGCCGGUGGAUACUGUCGGGCUCGAGUCCGGAAGAGGAGUGUGGAAUUCCUGGUGUAGCGGUGAAAUGCGCAGAUAUCAGGAGGAACACCGAUAGCGAAGGCAGCUCGCUGGGACGGUACUGACGCUGAGGCGCGAAAGCGUGGGGAGCGAACAGG
This 253-nucleotide ribosomal RNA is filed under the name uncultured bacterium. RNAcentral describes it as "partial 16S ribosomal RNA". It matches the Rfam family "Bacterial small subunit ribosomal RNA", at positions 524 to 776 of the family's 1533-position model. The record is from RNAcentral.